GAACGCAUACUUUAGAGUAUGAGUGGCAGACGGGUGAGUAACGCGUGAGACAUCUACCUUACAGCCCGGUAUAAAUAUCUAUAUAGAGGCGAAAAUCUUUAUAUAUGAGUGAAUCCCGGAUAUUUUGAAUAAAAAAAAAAGGCAAAGAACCGUUGUAAGAUGAGCUCGCGUAGGAUUAGGUAGUUGGUAAGGUAAAAGCUUAUCCAAGCCGAUGAUCCUUAGCUGUUCUGAGAGGAUGAUCAGCCACACUGGGACUGAGACACGGCCCAGACGCUUUCGAGCGGCAGCAGUGAGGAAUUUUGGACAAUGGGCGAAAGCCUGAUCCAGCUAUAUCGCAUGAAUGAAGAAGGCUCAAUUGGUUGUAAAAUUCAUAGUUUCAUUGUAGAUUAUGACAUUGAUGAAAUGAAUAGUCCCGGCCAACUCCGUGC
RNAcentral lists this ribosomal RNA (428 nucleotides) under uncultured Trebouxia photobiont. RNAcentral describes it as "bacterial SSU rRNA". It matches the Rfam family "Bacterial small subunit ribosomal RNA", at positions 64 to 508 of the family's 1533-position model. Lineage: Eukaryota; Viridiplantae; Chlorophyta; Trebouxiophyceae; Trebouxiales; Trebouxiaceae. The record is from RNAcentral.